Molecule: ribosomal RNA, 456 nt
Filed under: uncultured bacterium
Lineage: Bacteria
Description: SSU rRNA
Rfam family: Bacterial small subunit ribosomal RNA
Source: RNAcentral
AGAAUCAACGCUGGCGGCGUGCCUAACACAUGCAAGUCGAACGAGAAAGUGGAGCAAUCCAUGAGUAAAGUGGCGCACGGGUGAGUAACACGUGACUAACCUACCCUUGAGUGGGGAAUAACUUCGGGAAACCGAGGCUAAUACCGCAUAACACCUACGGGUCAAAGGAGCAAUUCGCUUAAGGAGGGGUUGCGGCAGAUUAGUUAGUUGGCGGGUAAUGGCCCACCAAGACAGUGAUCUGUAUCCGGCCUGAGAGGGCGCACGGACACACUGGAACUGAAACACGGUCCAGACUCCUACGGGAGGCAGCAGUGGGAAUUUGCGCAAUGGGGGAAACCCUGACGCAGCAACGCCGCGUGGAGGAUGAAGUCUCUUGGGACGUAAACUCCUUUCGAUCGGGACGAUAAUGACGGUACCGAGAGAAGAAGCCCCGGCUAACUUCGCGCCAGCAGCCGC